CCGCAGCUGUUGCUUGAGGACCUAAUCCCAACAUUCCUCCAGGGGCGGCACAGCCCACUGCCGGCUGGAAGGGCGCUGGGGCCACCCAUUCACACCUUCCACGGAGGGUCAGGGUUCCCGCCAGCCUGGUGCCCCAGAAGAGGACCUGGCAAGUGUGGAAUCCACAAGCACCGCCCUGAGCGUGUCCUCGGGCAGCAGCCCUGGCUGAGAAUCCUCCUUCCUCCACGCGCCCCGUGUGUCACAUGCCGAAUCCGCCGCCUUGUCGCCCUUCCCCUCCUCCCCCUGGAACACGCCAGUCACCUCCGCCCCAGCCAGGAUUCUAAUCUUCUGCAGCGACAGAGCUCCAGGCCUGGGGGUGCUACCCCCACGUCCCUGGAGGACGUUUUGCCUUCCUGACGACUCGGAUGCUCCUGACGCCGGGUGUGUGGACGUCGAGGAGUGCCUGCCUGAGGGAGCCGCCCCACGUAACAAAUGGCACUCCCUACGGUGCUGAUGGAUGUCUUCGCCUGAUCGUAAAACUCCAGAGGAAGUCAAAUUCGGGUUCUCAAAACCUUGGAGAUAUUCCUUGAAUUUAUUAUGUGACCUGAUAAAUUAUUGAAUCCGAGUCCUCCUGUACCUUUCACAGGUGGGCCUGCAACGCAGCCUGUCCCGUGGAUCCAGGGGCCUUGCCUGCUGUGGGUCAAGGUUCCCACUAGAAAUGCGCUUCUGAGAACUCAGGCUGGGAGUCCAGAAUCCCAGCCCAGCGGGACCCUGAGCAGAGGAACCAGCGUGCCAUGCAGGACUUCCGAGCCACAGAACCGUGAGAUAAUAAAACCCCAUGGUGGAAGCGUGGGACCCACUGAGGAACACCACCCGUGGACUGCCCCCCGGCAGAACCCCCACCCAAAGACGCCCCAGGAACAUCUCCAGGGGAACCCCACCCACAGAAGCCCACUGAGAACAGGCUGCAGAGUCUCGCCGAGGCGCUCGUGGCCCCCGCCAGGACCCCACUGGCUGCGGAUGCAAGGCCGGGAUGACUGGUGAUCUAGCAGGUGGUUUGGUGGCUGCGUGGAGGGGCAGAGGGGUCAGAGCGGGACAGGGAGGCCCCGCUGGGUGGGAACAAGGCAGCUUGGCAGGGGCUGAGGGUGGAGGGCCAUGGCCACCCACAUCCACAUCCGGGUGCUGUGCGAGGUGAGGCAGCACAGGGCAGUGCACCCCGAGCCUUCCAGCUGGAGCAGACGUGAGACAGGCUCUCGGUGGGUGUGGAGCGGGUGGACAGCAAGAGAAGGAAUGGAUGCAGCGACGGAGGAGCCUGGCGGCUCGGGUCCCUCCCAGCAGCAGGCGGUGCUCAGAUGCCCCGUCCUUGUCUUUCUGCAGCGCCCCCACCACUCUCUCCCCGGUGGCCUCAGGCACCUUCCCCGAGCAGCUGCCCGAAGCCCAGGUCCCCUGCAUGUGGGUCACCUCAGCCCCAGCCAUGAGCGGGGUCCUAGGCAUGCUCAGCUCCUUGGAGAGGACGUCUCACUCGCCCUGGGGGCGGGGCAUCCCCCACCUGCCCUCAGCCCCCUCCCUGCCUGGUCCCUCGCCUGAGGGGAGAGGCUCCAGUGUCAGCGAAGCCCCCUCCCUGCCCCCAGCACGGCCCUGGGGAGGGCCUGGGCCCAGAGCCACUCAGGCGCCCAG
This 1656-nucleotide long non-coding RNA is filed under the name Equus caballus (horse). Its description in RNAcentral is "lncRNA (ENSECAG00000037794.2)". Lineage: Eukaryota; Metazoa; Chordata; Mammalia; Perissodactyla; Equidae. The record is from RNAcentral.